CAGCCGCCGCGGUAAUACGGAGGGUGCAAGCGUUAAUCGGAAUUACUGGGCGUAAAGCGCACGCAGGCGGUUUGUUAAGUCAGAUGUGAAAUCCCCGAGCUUAACUUGGGAACUGCAUUUGAAACUGGCAAGCUAGAGUCUUGUAGAGGGGGGUAGAAUUCCAGGUGUAGCGGUGAAAUGCGUAGAGAUCUGGAGGAAUACCGGUGGCGAAGGCGGCCCCCUGGACAAAGACUGACGCUCAGGUGCGAAAGCGUGGGGAGCAAACAGGAUUAGAGACCCGAGUAGUCCCUGUCUAUUAUAC
Molecule: ribosomal RNA, 301 nt
Filed under: uncultured bacterium
Lineage: Bacteria
Description: partial 16S ribosomal RNA
Rfam family: Bacterial small subunit ribosomal RNA
Source: RNAcentral